RNAcentral lists this ribosomal RNA (229 nucleotides) under uncultured bacterium. RNAcentral describes it as "partial 16S ribosomal RNA". It matches the Rfam family "Bacterial small subunit ribosomal RNA", at positions 568 to 796 of the family's 1533-position model. The record is from RNAcentral.
UGCGUAGGCGGAUUAGUAAGUCAGUGGUGAAAGCCCAUCGCUUAACGGUGGAAUUGCCAUUGAUACUGCUAGUCUUGAGUAUGGUUGAGGUGGGCGGAAUGUGUCAUGUAGCGGUGAAAUGCUUAGAUAUGACCCAGAACACCAAUUGCGAAGGCAGCUCGCUAAACCAUAACUGACGCUGAUGCACGAAAGCGUGGGGAGCAAACAGGAUUAGAUACCCUGGUAGUCC